GACGAACGCUGGCGGCGUGCCUAAUACAUGCAAGUCGAACGCAGUUGCGAACGGUUGAGUAACGCGUAGGUAACUGCCUCAUAGCGGGGGAUAACUAUUGGAAACGAUAGCUAAUACCGCAUAUUGUGAGAUGGACCUGCGGUGGAUUAUCUAGUUGGUGAGGUAAAGGCUCACCAAGCCGACGAUACAUAGCCGACCUGAGAGGGUGAUCGGCCACACUGGGACUGAGACACGGCCCAGACUCCUACGGGAGGCAGCAGUAGGGAAUCUUCGGCAAUGGACGGAAGCCUGAUGCAGCAAUGCCGCGUGUAUGAAGAAGGCCUUCGGGUUGUAAAGUACUUUCAGCGGGGAGCGUUACCCGCAGAAGAAGCACCGGCUAACUCCGUGCCAGCAGCCGCGGUAAUAC
RNAcentral lists this ribosomal RNA (406 nucleotides) under uncultured bacterium. RNAcentral's name for it is "partial 16S ribosomal RNA". It matches the Rfam family "Bacterial small subunit ribosomal RNA", at positions 28 to 526 of the family's 1533-position model. The record is from RNAcentral.